AGCAAACAUCGCAAGUUGGACCGUCUUAUCCUGUCUAUUUUGUUUCUGCCUGCUGUGUAAUCUGGCACAUUUUGGUUGUUAGCGAAGUGAUAUGAACCAUAUAUCACUGAUGUUAAACGUACGAUAUGUCAUGGUCAGGGUCUCUUUUAACGCUGAUUUUAGCUCUCUGAACAGCGUCUUUGUUGAAGAAGAAGAAACCUGGUGGUGUGGAUUUCAGUGCUUUGAGCCGGCACGGGUAUCGUGGCGGACCAUCUAUACUGACAGUUGCUCCUCCAAAGGUUGAACCUAACUGGACUUGGUCCACUGGGAAAGAUCGCAACGAGAAGGAAGUUCUAACCGAGUCUUUUGAAGAGCGGGAACGCACAAGGGCUGCAGUAACUGAAGGAGAGAAGCUUAUCGGUGUGAUGAACCCCCAACCAAGGCAGACCGAGAAAGAGAAGGAUGCUGCUUCAUUCUCACAGAAGGAGAAGCGGAAGAGAGACCGUGGGCAGGCCAGCAGGGGUAAGAACUACGUCGAGGAGGAGAAGCGGCUCCUGAGGGGGAGUGGUGUCUACUCUGGCUUCGAUACUUGACAGUGUCCAGAACAUAUGUUAUUUGUCCGUGUUAGCUUCCGUCGUUACUGUUGGUGUGUCUGCUGUUUAGUUUUGUCGCGAAGUUCACUCUGGUCAAUCGGGGCUAUGCUUAUUCUGUAUCACCUAUCUGUCUUUGGGCUGGUUUAAACUUUGACACGCCUGCUAUUUUGCCAGAGCAGUGCUCCCGUGUCCAUCUUCGGCUAUGAUAGAUCCUGCGAACCAGCUUUGCGGCAAUGUAUCAUAGCCAUUCUUACCGGUGAGAUCUGUGUAUUAUGGUGAAGUGUUUUUUCUCUUUCUCUUUUUUGUCUCGGAAGGCUGACUAAAUGGGUUUACCGACUAAACUGGUCAACUCAAUGAACUCGUCCACAAAAGGCACAGCAUUCUUAUGUUCUUGCUAAUGAAAUUACAGGGAGAGAUAUCAAAUGGUAUUGGAUCAGAAUCGUGCGUUCUUGAUUUUCGCAGAGACAGGCAUCAAAUGGUAUUUGGAUCAGAAUGAGGGAGACGAUUUGUGACCCCAUCUCUCAUGCUUUUUCUUUGGACUUUCAAAUUUAAAUCUAUUAUAUCUCUUGAACCAAAAGUGUAAUUUAUGUUUAGUUUGCAUAUUCGGGUUCCUUGUGACGAGGUCUUUGAAAUAAGAUCACUUCCAAAUACGUUAUAACAAGCUUUUAAAACUUCACAAAGUUUGACCUGUUGAAACUUGGUAGGAAUGAAUUAAUUAAUUCAAUAACUUUCAGAAACUAAAACUUCAAACUGUCUUUUGAACCUCACCAUUAACGUUAAGGCUGAAGGGAAUUGCAAGGAAUCAAAUGAGUUUGUGGAUCGUGGGGCAAUGCUCCGGGCGGGCGGUGCCGAGCAGGUGCGUGCCCCCGCACCUGUAAGCCCUUGGGAAUUUCUUAUCAGAACGAGGUGUCGUUGUGCCGCACAUGGGAACAAUCUGCGGAAUCUAUAUGGAGCUUUGGUGGAUCAAUCUCUUCUACCUUCGCAAGAUCCAUCUCUUCUCCCGCUGCUAUUUUCCAGGACUCAAUUCUAUUUGCUUGGUUUGCUCGAAUAGCUCACGAAGCAUUUCAGAUUUCAGUACGACAACAAAAGAUAAACAAACAUUAUUUGCAGGCAUAUAUAAGUGUCAUCCCGAGCUCUCACUUGAGAAGGAAAAAAAAUGCUUUUGUGGCUCCUAACCACACACUAUUUGCAGGCAUAUAUAAGUGGAGGGUGCAUCGUACCCUGUUAUGACCGGUUUGGUCUAUACCAGAAAGAGGCCCACCGGGCAUUAGUAUUAGGGGCUUGACCCACAAGUUAUCUUAGGCAAGUUAUAUUAGGCAAGUUAUCUUAGGCUAAAGUUAUAAAUACUAGUUGUAAGACACCGUUUGAGGCAAGCAAUAAAGAUAUUAUAAUCUUCUGUUGCCCGGCUCCCCAAGGAGCCGGAACCCUAGCCGCCGCACCUAACCCUAGCCGCGACGGCGCCCCAUCGCCGGGGCGCGCUCCAGCCCUCGUCUUCCUCCCCUUGUCCGUACAAUCUACGCCGGAGGCCCGGUAGGAACCCUAGUCCUACCAAUUUGGUAUCCAGAGACACCAGGCCGAUCAUGUCGCUUCCUCCAUCACCGCCGCCGCUGCUAUCCACCUCCGCCCCACCACCGCUGCCGCCGGCCACCUCCUCGCCGAUGACGGCGAUCACGUCCGGGACCUUCACCACCACCGCGCCAGCGACGACCACCACCACGGCGGAUCCGCCCCCGCUCCUUACGCCCGAGGAGGUGUCGGGCACCCUGCGAGAACUCGUCCAGGCCGUUCGGGGCAUCACCCUCUACCUCGCCGGGAACCAGCCCCUGCCGCCGAGCGCCGCCACCCCCUCCUAUGGGCCGCCGCCGCUACAGUGGCCCGCCCCGGCCUUCCAGGCGCCCUACGGAGGGGCGCCUCCGCCGCCGCUCCUGCUGCCCUACCCGGCCGCGGGAACGCCUUGGCCAGCGUGGCCGACCGCCACCGCAUCGCUGGGGGGCCCGCCUCAGCAAUUCCUCCCAGCGCCACCGCCGGCCCCCCGACGCAGGCGACGGUGCAGCAGCACCACCAGGCGCCGCCGCCAUCGACAGCACCACCACCCGCGUCCCGCCCUACUGGCCGGCCCCUUCACCAGGUGCAAUUUCCGCCCUCGCCAUCGCCGAUUCCCGCGUGGGCGGCCGGCUCGUCUCCGGACCCGGUGUAUACUACGGCGCCGGAACACCCAAUGCCCUCCUUCUGAUCUGACCGUCCCUCCAGCUCGGCGAACCACACCCCAGAGAUCCCCGACCCGGCACACGCACUACCGUUGACUGCAGCUCCCGGGCACGGUGGCCCGACACCCCCUCGCUUCGCCAAACUGGACUUCGCCACUUACGACGGCACGGAGGACCCCCUUAACUGGCUCAACCAGUGCGAGCAGUUCUUUCGAGGGCAGCGGACGCUCGCUUCGGAUCGUACCUGGCUCGCGUCCUAUCAUCUCCGAGGCGCGGCGCAGACUUGGUACUAUGCCCUCGAGCAGGACGAGGGCGGCAUGCCACCAUGGGAGCGCUUCCGGGAGCUUUGUCUCCUCCGGUUCGGGCCUUCUAUCCGCGGGAGCCGACUAGCGGCCCUCGGCCGCUUGCCUUUCACAUCCACGGUGCAGGACUACGCCGACCGCUUCCAGGCCCUGGCAUGCCAUGCGCCGGGCGUCUCCGCGACUCAGCGCGCCGAGUUAUUUGUGGGCGGAUUACCGGACCAUAUUCGCGUGGACGUCGAGCUCCGGGAUCCCCCCGACCUCCAGACGGCCAUGUACUACGCCCGGGCCUUCGAACAGCGGGCUCAGGCGCUGCAGCAACCGGCCGGCCGGGGCGGCCGCCAUCCCAGUCGACCCGCGCCGACUCCACCAUCACCGGGCCGGCUUCUUCCAGCCACGACGACCGCACCUCAGGCCACCACCCGGACCUUCCGUCGGUUGUCACCAGCCGAGCAGCAGGAGCGUCGCCGUCAGGGCCUCUGCUUCAACUGUGAUGAGCCCUACACGCCGACCCAUGUCUGCCCCCGCCUAUUUUACUUGGAGACGGUCGACUACACCGAGGCGGACGACUCGACCGACGAGCCACCAACCGCGGCGGCCGCGGAUUCCACGGCGACGGCGUGCGUCGUCUCCCUCCACGCUCUCGCCGGCAUCCGUGGCGAACGGACCAUGUUGUUACCGGUGACAGUCCAUGGCGAGCGGCUGGUGGCCCUGCUGGAUACUGGCUCCACCCAUAACUUCCUGCCCGCGGCGACCAUGCGUCGGCUAGCACUGCCGACCACGGGCGGGGAGCGCCUGCGGAUCACGGUGGCAAACGGCGAUCGCCUCCGGUGCCAUGGGCUCGCCCGCGACGUUCCCAUCUCCAUCGGUGGCGAGCACUUCUCCAUUACAUGUGCAGGCAUCGACCUCGGCUGCUUCGACUUCAUCCUCGGGGUGGAUUUUCUCCGGACCCUCGGGCCCAUCCUGUGGGACUUCGACGCACUCUCGAUGACGUUCUGGCGGCUGGGCUGCCGCAUCCGGUGGGACGGCCUUGGGGGCGCCGCGCCAGCCGUGCCACACCUCCAGCUGGCCGCCGCGUCCCAGGAGGCCGAGCACCCCCUGCUGGAUCCCCUUCUACAGCAGCACAGCGACCUCUUCGACGAGCCACGGGGUCUUCCACCCGCCCGGGUGUACGACCAUCAUAUUCACCUCGUACCGGGCUCCACCCCCGUGGCGGUUCGUCCCUACCGCUACCCUCAGCUGUAGAAGGAUGAGUUGGAGCGACAGUGUGCCCUUAUGCUCGCGGCAGGCAUCAUCCGGAUCUCCACGUCGCCCUUCUCCGCGCCGGUGCUUCUCAUCCGUAAGUCGGACGGCACGUGGCGUUUCUGCAUUGACUAUCGCGCCCUCAACGCGCUCACGCUCAAGGACAAGUUCCCUAUACCGGUGGUCGACGAGCUCUUGGAUGAGCUCCAUGGGGCGCGCUUCUUCACCAAGCUCGAUCUCCGGUCGAGCUAUCAUCAGGUGCGCAUGCAUCCAGACGACAUCGCCAAGACGGCGUUUCGCACCCACCAUGGCCACUUCGAGUUCUUGGUGAUGCCCUUCGACCUCGCCAACGCCCCGGCGACUUUCCAGGCCCUGAUGAACGACGUCCUUCGACCCUACUUACAGCUGUUUGUGCUUGUUUUCUUUGAUGACAUUCUUAUCUACAGCGCCACCUGGGCCGAGCACCUCUAGCACGUCGCCAUCGUCUUCAACGAGCUUCGGGCGCACCACCUCCACCUUAAGCGCUCGAAGUGCUCGUUCGGGACACCUACCGUCGCCUACCUCGGCCAUGUCAUCUCGGCCGACGGGGUGGCUAUGGACGCCGACAAGGUGGCGGCCGUCUCUGCAUGGCCGACGCCUCACUCGCCGCGGGCUCUCCGCGGGUUCCUCGGCCUAGCCGGCUACUACCGGAAAUUUAUCCGGGAGUUCGGGCUCAUCGCGGAGCCCCUCACGCGGUUGCUUCGCCGCGACGCUUUCGCCUGGGACGACGAGGCGACGACGGCGUUCGAGGCCCUCAAGGGGGCCCUCACGACGGGCCCCGUCCUCUAGAUGCCCGACUUCGACCGCCCGUUCGUGGUGGACUGUGACGCCUCGGGCGCCGGGUUCGGCGCCGUGCUUCAUCAGGGCGAUGGGCCCCUCGCUUUCUUCAGCCGGCCUUUCGCUCCACGCCAUCUUAAGCUGGCGGCAUACGAGCGGGAGCUCAUUGGCCUUGUACAGGCCGUUCGUCAUUGGCGGCCGUACUUGUGGGGACGAUCCUUCCACAUUCGCACGGACCACUACAGCCUGAAGUUCUUGCUGGACCAACGGUUGUCGACCGUGCCGCAGCACCAGUGGAUCAGCAAGCUCUUCGGCUUUGACUUCUCCGUCGAGUAUCGGCCGGGCCGUCUUAACAUCGUGGCCGACGCGCUGUCCCGUCGCGACUCCGACCUUGCUUCCUCCACCGACGAGUCCGCCGGGGCGGCCCUGUGCAUCCGCUCCGGGCCGACGUUCGGUCUCUUCGCCGACAUUCGCCGCGCCACUACGACGGCCAACGACGCCGUCCUUCUUCAGCAGCAGCUCACGGCCGGCGACCUGGAGGAGCCUUGGCGCUUCUCUGACGGACUGCUUCUCCAUGGGCGCCGGAUCUUUGUUCCGGCGCAUGAUGAUCUCCGUCACCAGGUGUUACAGCUCGCCCACUCGGCGGGUCAUGAGGGUGUGCAGAAAACCCUCCAUCGUCUUCGCGCCGACUUCUACAUCCCUGGCGAUCACGCCCUGGUCCGCGACUGGGUUCGGUCUUGUCAGACAUGCCAGCGCAACAAGACGGAGACCCUUAGGCCGGCUGGCUUACUUCAGCCUUUGGAGGUGUUGUCUCAGGUUUGGGCGGAUAUCUCCAUGGACUUCAUCGAGGGCCUUCCCAAGGUGGGCGGCAAGUCGGUCAUUCUCAUGGUGGUCGACCGCUUCUCCAAGUACGCCCACUUCAUCGCGCUCGGCCAUCCGUACACGGCGGCGUCAGUGGCCCGGGCCUUCUUCGACGGCAUCGUCCGUCUUCACGGGUUCCCUGCUUCGAUCGUCAGUGAUCGGGACCCAGUGUUCACGGGCCAUGUCUGGCGCGAUCUCUUCAGCAUGGCGGGUGUCCAACUCCGCCUGAGUACGGCGUUCCAUCCUCAGACAGAUGGUCAGUCCGAGGUGGUUAACAAGGUCAUUGCCAUGUAUUUGCGUUGUGUGACAGGUGAUCGGCCUCGCGCUUGGGUGGAUUGGCUCUCUUGGGCGGAGUACUGCUACAAUACCUCUUAUCACUCCGCCCUGCGCGCGACGCCAUUUGAGGUGGUCUAUGGUCGACCACCCCCGCCUAUACUUCCGGUGGACCCGGAGACGGCUCGAACAGAGGUUGCGGGUGACCUUAUCCGCACUCGUGACGAGAUGCUUGCUGAGGUUCGUCAGCGUCUCCUUCAGGCACAGCAGCUGGCCAAGCACUACUACGACGAUCAUCAUCGCGAGGCGGAGUUCGCGGUGGGUGAUUGGGUGUGGCUGCGUCUCCUCCACCGCUCUACGCAGUCACUCGACCCGCGCGCGAAGCGCAAGCUCGGCCCUCGCUACGCCGGGCCCUUCCCUAUCUUGGAGCGCAUUGGGAAGGUGGCCUAUCGUCUUCAGCUUCCAGCCCGCGCUCGCAUCCACGACGUCUUCCAUGUUGGGCUGCUCAAGCCUUUCCGUGGCGAGCCACCGGCGGCUCCUCCGGCGCUUCCUCCACUCGCUGAUGGUCACAUUCUUCCCGAGCCGGCAAAGGUGUUGCAGGCGCAGCUCCGUCGUGGCGUCUGGUUCGUCCUCGUUCAGUGGGCGGGCCUUCCGGAGGAGGAGGCUACUUGGGAGCAGCGUGACGAAUUCCGCCAACACUAUCCAGACUUUCAGCUCGAGGACGAGCUGUUUGCGCAGGCGGGGAGAGAUGUUAUGACCGGUUUGGUCUAUACCAGAAAGAGGCCCACCGGGCAUUAGUAUUAGGGGCUUGACCCACAAGUUAUCUUAGGCAAGUUAUAUUAGGCAAGUUAUCUUAGGCUAAAUUUAUAAAUACUAGUUGUAAGACACCGUUCGAGGCAAGCAAUAAAGAUAUUAUAAUCUUCUGUUGCCCGGCUCCCCAAGGAGCCGGAACCCUAGCCGCCGCACCUAACCCUAGCCGCGACAGCGCCCCAUCGCCGGCGCGCCCGCUCCAGCCCUCGUCUUCCUCCCCCUUGUCCGUACAAUCUACGCCGGAGGCCCGGUAGGAACCCUAGUCCUACCAUACACUUUUUGCCUAGUUGUCAUGCGUAGAUUGCCUUUCCGGGAAAAAAAAUCUCAGCAUAAGAGAUGUUUCUGCUUACGGACCACUCCAUUCGGUUCGUCUCAGCCUUCCUUUGCUAUGGCAAUUGCAGGCGGAUUUAUUGGUUGAUCUGUGAGGGAUGGUGGCAAAGGCUCGUGUAUCCAUAUCAUCAACUAAAAACUUCAAGGUAAAAACACUAGCUGUAAUUCUCCAGCUACCGAGCAGGAUUUGCGUCAUGAAUGUAGAAUAACUUUACCAAAUUUUACUCUACACGUAAGAUGCAUAGGCUUCGACAAAGCUCUACAGUGGACACAUAACAACAUGCGUACAUAGAGUGUAUAAUAACUGCUGUGAAUUUGCAAUUGUAUGUAAAGGGAUAAAAAUAGUAAACAAAAUAUGUUUCAUAAAACUUGGGCGAAUGAUAUCUUGCAAGUGCACAGGGCUGGUUGUAGCUGCUUUUGAAGUAAGAGUAUUGAUCCUACAAAGAGCUGAGAAAAUGGUCAUUUGCCUCUAUAGAGAUUGAUCGCAAAGUGCCUCCAAGUCCUCUAAGGGCAUCUUCAACGGCAUACUCCAAAGCGUCCCUAAACAUCUGGACCACGAUGUCCGUGUUAGAAUAAAUUCGAGGCACUCAGUCGAUCAUCUGAGGACCAAGCAAUCACACGAGCAUGACAUCAAGAUUUGUUAACGAGGUUCACCGAUAUGGCUACAUCUUCGGGGCCUAAUUAUGGGCGCUCCUCCCCAUGACACCGUUACAAUACGCACCAGGACGCUCUGGACGCCAGCACACGCCGCCGGCUUUCCCUGCGUUCCUGUGCUAUUAUGUUGGCAUAGGUUACAUCGUGUGUCUACCCCCAUUAUAUAUGAGAGGCCCAGGAUACAAGUGUCCUAAUAGGACACGACUUAUCCUAUCUAAACACAAUACAACUACAAGUCCAACUGUAACCUACCUUGUACAUAAUAUUCGACACAACUCUAACAAACUCCACCUUGGCGAAUAUUCUCCACCACCUUGAAUUCGUUAAUGCGUCAAACUUCCAUGUACAUUGAAUUUGAGCUUAUCCCAAGAGUACGGCUGCUACUUCAAAGACUCCAUAUGACUCCACCUGCAACUUGUAGUCCCUUCAUUUCUUGACCACAGUCAACGCUCAAGCGAAAUUAAAUUCCCCUUACUCUAGUUUGUGCUCCCAACUUUCAGAGUAUCCGUUCAAUGCCAUCACACACUGAUCACUGACCUGCGUGAAAGUGAACAACUCCCAUAUUGGGUGUCACACAUAAGAGUUACCUGAACUCAACAUCAUCGCUCCUUUCUUGACCGCCUGUCUGAAACUUGAAUGAAUUUCACCAUUGCUUGUAGUCAUCCUGAGUUAAAUUCGCAGUUGUCUCACCACAUGUAUGACCACCAGAGCCCUGGCCCGUCUCCAUGUCCCAUGCAUACCGCACGCCUCGCCGCUAUUACCGCGUCGAGCCUCCGCUGUCCCGGUCGAGUCUCAAGGGUCACAAACCCACACCACUCAACCCCCACUGCAGAGUACCACCGAUCAUCACCGACCGAUGACGAGUUUCACACUUCCAUCGGACCACUGGGCUCCAGUCCGAACUGCGUGUCACUCGCUUUUCUCGCUGAAAUAUGCUUCGACUCUGAGCUCUUACGCCGUAGCCCCUCAAUCAGCACCGAGUGAAGUCUUCCAGACUCCAGCUCCACCUUCUACAUGACUCCAUGGUAGAUGAUCAGUCCACCCUCGCGCCCCGUCGACAUCAAGCUCUCAUGUGCGCACCGUCUUGAAUCAACCCCGCGCCAUAGUCUUAUCGAAGCCACACAAGCCCUCGGGGCCUGCGCCACGUGUUUCCACGCCCAAAAGUCGGUCACCAUCAACAUCACGCUCCUAUGUCGUCGUCGCCGAUCCCACCACCGUCUUCUGUACCAAGGGACUUGCGUCGAUCCGUCAGAUUAUCUAGUCCGACCCAGGCUCCCAGAUCAUUCCACGGAUUUCCAUCCAUCACAUGAUAAUUCUGUCACAGCUGACUUGACUUCCCGCAACGCCUUCAAGCAUCCCUGUUGUGCCAACAAAUCUUUCACCCUGGUCUGCCAUAACUCAAGGUUUUCAGUCCCGUUAAACUUCUUCACCUCAAACCUAGUACCCGAUGGCGCCACAGUUCUUUGUACGGCUGACCCUGCGAAAAAUUAUGCAAACUUUCCUCACGUGAUGCCCAAGUACACAAGCAAAACCUGACGUGGUACACCCUCAUGUACUAAUAGCAAUUCCAACCAAAAGAAAAUCUUCUGGUAAUCACGUGAUGGCUCGUGCUUUAGCUCAAACCACGAUGCUAGCUUUUGACUUUGCCUUGCCAACGCCUUUCCAAUGGAUGCACAUAAUCAGCAAUGGAUUUUCUCUGCACAAAUCUGAUCUGAUGCCUUGCCACGUACGGUUACCCAGCCCUUGCUGCUAUGUAAUAGCGCACCUGCAGCUUGCCGAAUACGAGGACUUCCAGGACUCGGUCCUUUUUGUUUCCAAACAAAUCUCUGUCCGCUGUCUUCCGAUUGCGUCGGAGCAACGACUCACUGCGCGCCCUGCCUUUGCUAGCCUCGCACGUCUGGGCCACCCAACACCUGGGCCGCAGCCAUGAUGACUGGGCCGUGUGCUCCCGCGCCACGACCAGCGCGUAUCACGCGCCGCCUGUACGCCAAGUCCCAGUUGCCUGCCUGCUGCGUCGGUUUCCGCACACGAUCAAUCUGCUAUCGAUCUCGCCGAGUCGGCUUCGAACACGACGCGUGUUGCUGCAACUCAACGCCAAUCGCGUAUGUGCACGCUCAUACACGCCACCGAUCGAUGUGCCGAUCAAUCCGUAGCUUUCGCGGGCGAAGUGCACGCGCCUCGUAAAUCUCGGCGAAUCCUUCCGAUCUCGUCCUCUAGAUCGACACGAACAUCGUCUCACACCUAGCUGAUCAUACCACUUGUUAGAAUAAAUCCGAGGCACUCAGUGGAUCAUUCGAGGACCAAGCAAUCACACGAGCACGACACCGAGAUUUGUUAACGAGGUUCACCGAUAUGGCCACAUCUCCGGGGCCUGACUAUGGGCGCUCCUCCCCAUGACACCGCUACAAUACGCACCAGGACGUCAGCACACGCCGCCGGCUUCCCCUGCGUUCCUGUGCUAUUAUGUUGACAUAGGUUACGUCGUGUGUCUACCCCCAUUAUAUAUGAGAGGCCUAGGAUACAAGCGUCCGAAUAGGACACGAGUUAUCCUAUCUAAACACAAUACAACUACAAGUCCAACUGUAACCUAACUUGUACACAAUAUUCGACACAACUCUAACAGUCCGGACAUUUUUUGUCAUCUAACGCCGUGCACAAACGUCCGCGGACACGUCCGGGUGUCCGAAUUCCUACAAACCAGCCACAAAUUGGUAGGAGGUUUGCGGGAGUCCGGACAUGCGGCACGUAGGCUUCCGACACCCCAGUCCACCCAACCCCUUCUCCAAAACCACUCCCCCACUCCGUCCUCCCCCUUGCUCUGUAUCCGCACCUUUCAAGUUCGACGUUGCCGCUCUACCACUUCGGCCGCCGCCCAGGCCUUGCCGGACAUCUGCCACCGUGAGGGCUUGCCAGUUGUCCGCCUUGGACUACCCCACCAUAUGUGUUGGAUCCGUCCACAACCAGGUAUACCCCCCCCUGCCGGCGUCGUCCAUGGCGGACACCACGUCUGACAAGUGUCCGGCCAAAUGCUAACGAGAUUUUCUUUGAUGUUAUUGAUGUUUACUUUGAACCAAACACAAUGGGCAUACUCGAUAAUGAAGGAUGGGUUGUUGUGCGAUGCAUGGUUGCCAGAAGUGCGGACUUUGUAUGCCUGAAGCAAGAGGGCACAAUAUUUUGGCUAAAUGUGCAUUCUUGGUUUCAUGAGCAAAAACACUUCGCGCCCUACAACUUGCAUGUGAUCUAUGAAUGCAAUGUGAAAUCGCUAGCCCAUCGACGAUAGACCAUCUCAAACUCUGUCAUGAAGUAUUGUAGUGCGACUACACGGGGAAAGAGGGUGGCCACCGGGAUAACAAAUCAUGGAGAUCAUAAGUUUUUCUUCUUGUUGCCCCACAUAUUGGUCAAUUUAUUGAUUCACUCAAUGUACCAACUUGAUGAUCACGUGCUUGUAUAUCCUGCACGCGCUGCCAUAUUGUAUCAAAUAACGGAGGGCGGACCAUUCAUGUUGAUGCAUUGUUGGAUGAAGCUCAAGGUGCACAGCCUGUGUAUGAACAAUACUUUGCUCUAGGAUUAUUUCAGACGUAAUACUUAUAUUUGAACUAUUGUUGUACUAGAAUAUCUGCAUGCUAUUUAUUGAUGGAUUAUGUUAUUUUAUAUAAUUAUUUUGAGUGCUCGGAACAUAGAAAAAAAUAGAGGUGAACAUUUGGUGCAUAGGAUUGGAUGUCCGGCUUCCGUAUAGGGUCCGCGGAUGCGUCCGCGAACGUUUAGUGUGUCCGAUUUGAGGUACACCAUUGGUAUGCCCUUAGAUUUCAAGCAGAAGUGAUGUGAUGGUUGAGAGGUUGCAAGUGUGUUUGAGCAAUAACAAAAAUAGAGGUGAACAUAUGAAUACACAAUAGGUUUUGGUAUUACAACAAGAUGGAUGGGAGAGUCGACAACGGUGGGAUUGAUAGUGAUGGAGAGGAUCAAGCUCGAUAUCGUGUCCACCGUGAUUGAAGCAGUGGUGAGAUGGAUGCCCUUCUGCUGAUUCCCCAUCCGGAUCCCUUUCGGAUGUGAGGUUACCGGUACUGUUUCGUACGAUGGAGUCUAUCUUUUUGUCGUAACUGAGAUUCGAUUGCAGGGGUGGAAAUAGUUAACCAGGAGAAGGCGACAACAAGUGGUACAACUGUUGGUACGAGUAGGUGCGCACAAGGCAAAAUGCAACGUGUUUCUUCUCACGUGUUUGUCUUUUUGUAUGGAAGGUUUUGUGAGGUCCAAUAAAUAUAUUUUUGACCAAAAAUGGGUGUUUUCGAAUGAACAAUCCAAAUCUACUGAUUAUGGGAAUCCUGGUGAAAUGAUAUGAAAACAGGUGAGCGAUCAUGGUAAAAUACAGAAAAUCUUACAUCUACGAUGCAAAAAAACUAAGUAAAACAUGAUGCAAGAUGCAUUCAUUAGUGAACACAAUAGUGUAAGUCAUAUUAAUGAGGGGAGUACCUAAACCUUUAAUUUGGAUUAUAUAAAGAAACUUAUUCAUGUGCUAGUGUAUUAUGGGAGAAUACUAGGCAUGCUUCUAAUAUCUGACGUCUUCUUUUUGUGUGGAAAGGACUCAGAUCUAUUAUAAAAGUUCAUUCGAAGCACAAAACAACUCAAACAUAAUAAAAAUUGCAUCAUGGUCUUUGAACCACCGAACGACCACUGCCGCCGCCAGAACGAGCCGCUGUCACCACUCCCAUACUGCAGUCGGCCUGACCUUGUCUAUGAUAACUGAAAAUCUUCGUGCACGUGCUUCUAAGGACCAACACCCCAGAACCGUAAUUGUCUCCAUUGAACCCUAACCUUGCCGCCCCGAGGAGUUGGCAGGAAUCUACGUGGGAGCUCCGUCUGGUCCGUCCCGACAUACGAACUUGAGAGGGUCAGAGCUCGAAAGACUUACUAGAAGAAGAAGCGCCGCCAUCUUUCGGAGUGCUGCCAACUAAAACCCUAACCUAUCUACUAGCCGGAGCUGAGACACUGGAAUUCCCGUCAUCGCUACUGGCCACUGGAGUGGUGGGAAGAGGGGUGGCAAAUCCACGGGCUCGCCUGCGGAGAUCGAGGGAAGGAAAGCUUUGCCCAACUCGCCUUGCGAGAGGAGAAAUAAAAACAAAAGGGAGCUACAUUUUCAAGCGUAAGAUAUCUAAUAUAUAACAUCUAACAUGGAAGAUAUAUAGGGGUACAUGUGUGUAAUAUCUCAUCCAUAGCUUUACUCCCAAUACAUCUUAAAAAACUUGCAAUAGUUAAUCCUAGUACAACUUAAAAGUCUUGCAAGUAACACAACCGUAUAAACAAUUCAUGUCUAGUUACAUUGUUGCACGGUAUGCAUGUUAGGUAGAGAAAGCACCAUUAACAUAGAAUGGCUUGGCGAACCCAUCUGUGGUUGGAUGGCUAGGAGUACAGUGGGCUUGGAUGGCUAGGAGGACAGUGGUAUCCCAGCCCACGAGAGUUCAAGCCCUAGACUUGACAUUGUUGCUCGUAUUUUUCUGAAUUUAUUUCAGGCCUUCCGGCAAUGUGCGUUCAGUGAAAUGAGAUAUUUUCGUUGAGUAUGAAGGCGUCUGUGGCUACUUCGUCAAUCUUAAGAUCAUGUGCCGGCUCAGUCUCUCGGAGGUGCUCAUAGAGGUAGGGUAGACAUGCGUGCGUUCAUAGGGAUGAGUGUAUGCUCGUGUAUGUGAGCAACUUUAAUUGUAGCAUUAAAAAACAUAGAAUGGCGUGCUUUAGAGGAAAAACAACCGAGAUGUGUCCUCAUUGUUACUAAGAGCCAGUUCUGAUGUUGGCUUAUAGAAUAAGCUGGAAUAAGCUGCCCCUACCCAGUUUAUUCUAGAUGCCCAACUAAGUUUAUCUUUUUAGAAGCCAUCUAAUUAAGACUUGACUAGUAGGUUUUUAAAAAUAUUUUUGGUUGAGCUUCUAGAAUAAACUGGAUAGGGGGCAGCUUAUUCUAGAAGUCCAAAACAGCCAAAAAAAUGGCCAUAAUAUGAAAAUAGAGCGACACCUCCUUGCUGCAAGGUCAGAAACAAUUUGAGUCUGUAUUCCAUACAAUUUAUGUGUAUAAUUUACAAAGUCUGUAUUUGAUAGACUCAUCAACAUAGAUCCAACUUUUACUAUCUAGUUAGGACAACUUCAACAAUGACCUCUAAAAUGGACACACUAUUUGUCCACGGACUUGUCGGACCGGUUUGCAGAUACGGAUAUGGAAGUCAGUCAUCCAACUGCAUACCCUGAACGUCUUCCCAGGUCCGGUUAUUCUUCACUUCAAAUGCAUAGCAAUAUAAGAAAAAUAAAGUGUGGUCUUUAUACCGUCUAUUUGCAAUCAAAAAGGGACGUCAUCGAGCUGAACAUCUGCUGAACACGGAGGUGCCGUACGUUUGUUACUUGGAUCGGUUGGAUCGUGAAGACAUUCGACUACAUCAACCGCGUUAACCUAACGCUUCCGCUUUCGGUCUAUGAGGGUACGUGGACACACUCUCCCCCUCUAGUUGCUAUGCAUCUCCUAGAUAGAUCUUGCGUGAGCGUAGAUUUUUUUUUUGAAAUUGCAUGCUACGUUCCCAACAGUGGCAUCCGAGCCAGGUCUAUGUGUAGAUGAUAUGCACGAGUAGAACACAAAGAGUUGUGGGCGAUAAUAGUCACACUGCUUACCACCAACGUCUUACUUUGAUUCGGUGGUAUUGUUGGAUGAAGCGGCCUGAACCGACAUUACAUGACCGCGUUCAUGAGACUGGUUCUACCAACGUGCUUCGCACACAGGUGGCUGGCGGGUGUCUGUUUCUCCAACUUUAGUUGAAUCGAGUUUGACUACGGCCGGUCCUUGGUGAAGGUUAAAACAGCACACUUGACGAAAAAUUGUUGUGGUUUUGAUGCGUAGGUAAGAACGGUUCUUGCUAGAAGCCCGUAGCAGCCACGUAAAACUUGAAACAGCAAAGUAGAGACAUCUAACUUGUUUUUGCAGGGCAUGUUGUGAUGUGAUAUGGUCAAGACAUGAUGUGAUAUAAUUUAUUGUAUGAGAUAAUCAUGUUUUGUAAAAGUUAUCGGUAACUGGCAGGAGCCUUAUGGUUGUCGCUUUAUUGUAUGAAAUGCAAUCGCCAUGUAAUUGCUUUACUUUAUCACUAAGCGGUAGCGAUAGUCAUAGAAGGAAUAGUUGGCGAGACGACAACGAUGCUACGAUGGAGAUCAAGGUGUCAAGCCAGUGACGAUGGAGAUCAUGACGGUGCUUUGGAGAUGGAGAUCAAAGGCACAAGAUGAUGAUGGCCAUAUCAUGUCACAUAUUUUGAUUGCAUGUGAUGUUUAUCUUUUAUGCAUCUUAUUUCGCUUAGUACGGCGGUAGCAUUAUAAGAUGAUCCCUCACUAAAUUUCAAGGUAUAAGUGUUCUCCCUGAGUAUGCACCAUUGCCACAGUUCGUUGUGUUGAGACACCACGUGAUGAUCGGGUGUGAUAAGCUCUACGUUCACAUACAACGGGUGCAAGCCAGUUUGCACGUGCAGAAUACUCGGGUUAAACUUGACGAGCCUAGCAUAUGCAGAUAUGGCCUCGGAACACUGAGACCGAAAGGUCAAAUGAGAAUCAUAUAGUAGAUAUGAUCAACAUAGAGAUGUUCACCAUUGAAAACUACUCCAUCUCACGUGAUGAUCGGACAUGGUUUAGUUGAUAUGGAUCACGUGAUCAUUUAGAUGACUAGAGGGAUGUCUAUCUAAGUGGGAGUUCUUAAGUAAUAUGAUUAAUUGAACUUUAAUUUAUCACGAACUUAGUACCUGAUAGUUUUUUCAUAUCAAUGUUGUUGUAGAUCAAUGGCCCGUGCUACCGUUCCCUUGAAUUUUAAUGCGUUCCUAGAGAAAGCUAAGUUGAAAGAUGAUGGUAGCAACUACACGGACUGGGUCCGUAACUUGAGGAUUAUCCUCAUUGCUGCACAGAAGAAUUACGUCCUGGAAGCACCGCUAGGUGCAAGGACCACUGCAGGAGCAACUCCGGACGUUAUGAACGUCUGGCAGGCUAAAGCUGACGACUACUCGAUAGUUCAGUGUGCCAUGCUUUACGGCUUAGAAUCCGGACUUCAAAGACGUUUUGAAUGUCAUGGAGCAUAUGAGAUGUUCCAGUAGUUGAAAUUAAUAUUUCAAGCAAAUGCCCGAGUUGAGAGAUAUGAAGUCUCCAACAAGUUCUAUAGCUGCAAGAUGGAGGAGAAUAGUUCUGUCAGUGAACACAUACUCAGAAUGUCUGGGUACCAUAACCACUUGACUCAACUGGGAGUUAAUCUUCCUGAUGAUAGUGUCAUUGACAGAGUUCUUCAAUCACUACCACCAAGCUAUAAAGGCUUCGUGAUGAACUAUAAUAUGCAAGGGAUGGAAAUGACAAUUCCCGAGCUCUUCGCGAUGCUAAAGGCUGCGGAGGUAGAAAUCAAGAAGGAGCAUCAAGUGUUGAUGGUUAACGAGACCACUAGUUUCAAGAAAAAGGGCAAAGGGAAGAAGGGGAACUUCAAAAAGAAUAGCAAGCAAGUUGCUGCUCCUGGGAAGAAGCCCAAGUCUGGACCUAAGCCUAAAACUGAGUGCUUCUACUGCCAAGGGACUGGUCACUGGAAGCGGAACUGCCCCAAGUAUUUGGCGGAUAAGAAGGAUGGCAAAGUGAAAGGAGAAAUCCUUCUUGCUACCUCUUGAGCACUGCGUUGGUUUUCCCUUGAAGAGGAAAGGGUGAUGCAGUAAAGUAGCGUAAGUAUUUCCCUCAGUUUUUGAGAACCAAUGUAUCAAUCCAGUAGGAGACCACGCUCGAGUCCCACGCACCUACACAAACAAAUAAGAACUUCGCAACCAACGCAAUAAAGGGGUUGUCAAUCCCUUCACGGUCACUUACGAGAGUGAGAUCUGAUAGAUAUGAUAAGAUAAUAUUUUUGGUAUUUUUAUGAUAAAGAGAAAUGAAGAUGCAAAGUAAAAUAAACGGCGCCAGAAAUAGCUUGUUGACGGGAGAUUAAUAUGAUGGAAAAUAGACCCGGGGGCCAUAGGUUUCACUAGUGGCUUCUCUCAAGAGCAUAAGUAUUACAGUGGGUAAACGAAUUACUGUCGAGCAAUUGAUAGAAUUGAGCAUAGUUAUGAGAAUAUCUAGGUAUGAUCAUGUAUAUAGGCAUCACGUCCGCGACAAGUAGACCGAAACGAUUCUGCAUCUACUACUAUCACUCCACACAUCGACCGCUAUCCAGCAUGCAUCUAGAGUAUUAAGUUCAGAAGAACAGAGUAAUGCUUUAAGUAAGAUGACAUGAUGUAGAGGGAUAAACUCAUGCAAUAUGAUAUAAACCCCAUCUUUUUAUCCUCGAUGGCAACAAUACAAUACGUGUAGUUUCCCUUUCUGUCACUGGGAUCGAGCACCGCAAGAUUGAACCCAAAGCUAAGCACUUCUCCCAUUGCAAGAAAGAUCAAUCUAGUAGGCCAAACCAAACUAAUAAUUCGAAGAGACUUGCAAAGAUAACCAAUCAUACAUAAAAGAAUCCAGAGGAGAUUCAAAUAUUGUUCAUAGAUAAACUUGAUCAUAAACCCACAAUUCAUCGGAUCUCGACAAACACACCGCAAAAGAAGAUUACAUCGAAUAGAUCUCCAAGAAGAUCGAGGAGAACUUUGUAUUGAAAUCCAAAGAGAGAGAAGAAGCCAUCUAACUAAUAACUAUGGAUCCGAAGGUCUGAGGUAAACUACUCACACAUCAUCGGAGAGGCUAUGGUGUUGAUGUAGAAGCCCUCCGUGAUCGAUGCCCCCUCCAGCGGAGCGCCGGAAAAGGCCCCAAGAUGGGAUCUCACGGGUACAGAAGGUUGCGGCGGUGGAAAUAGGGUUUUGGCUCCGUAUAUGGUGUUUCCAAGGUACAUGGGUAUAUAUAGGAGGAAGAAGUACGUCGGUGGAGCAACGAGGGGCCCACGAGGGUGGAGGGCGCGCCCAGGGGGGUAGGCGCGCCCCCCUGCCUCGUGCCUUCCUCGUUGAUUACUUUACGUAGACUCCAAGUCCUCUGGAUCACGUUUGUUCCGAAAAUCACGUUCCCAAAGGUUUCAUUCCGUUUGGACUCCGUUUGAUAUCCUUUUCCUUCGAAACGCUGAAAUAGGCAAAAAAACAGCAAUCUGGGCUGGGCCUCCGGUUAAUAGGUUAGUCCCAAAAAUAAUAUAAAAGUGUAUAAUAAACCCAUUAAACAUCCAAAAGAGAAUAUAAUAUAGCAUGGAACAAUAAAAAAUUAUAGAUACGUUGGAGACGUAUCAAGCAUCCCCAAGCUUAAUUCCUGCUCGUCCUCGAGUAGGUAAAUGAUAAAAACAGAAUUUUUGAUGUGGAAUGCUACUUAGCAUAAUUUUCAAUGUAAUUCUCUUAAUUGUGAUAUGAAUAUUCAGAUCCGAAAGACUCAAGAUAAAAUUUUAAUAUUGACAUAAAAAUAAUAAUACUUCAAGCAUACUAACUAAGUAAUUAUGUCUUCUCAAAAUAACAUGGCCAAUGAAAGUUAUCCCUACAAAAUCAUAUAGUCUGGCUAUGCUCUAUCUUCCCCGCACAAAAUAUUUAAGUCAUGCACAACCCCGAUGACAAGCCAAGCAAUUGUUUCAUACUUUUGGUGUUCUCAAAAUUUUCAAUUUUCACGCAAUACAUGAGCGUGAGCCAUGGAUAUAGCACUAUAUAUGGAAUAGAAUGGUGGUUGUGGAGAAGACAAAAAGGAGAAGAUAGUCUCACAUCAACUAGGCAUAUCAACGGGCUAUGAAGAUGCCCAUUAAUAGAUAUCAAUGUGAGUGGGUAGGGAUUGCCAUGCAUCGAAUGCACUAGAGCUAUAAGUAUAUGAAAGCUCAAAAAGAAACUAAGUGGGUGUGCAUCCAACUUGCUUGCUCACGAAGACCUAGGGCAUUUUGAGGAAGCCCAUCAUUGGAAUAUACAAGCCAAGUUAUAUAAUGAAAAAUUCCCACUAGUAUAUGAAAGUGAUAUCAUAGGAGACUCUCUAUCAUGAAGAUCAUGGUGCUACUUUGAAGCACAAGUGUGGUAAAAGGAUGGUAACAUUGUCCCUUCUCCCUUUUCUCUCAUAUUUUUUUCUUUGGGCCUUUUCUCUUUUUUUAUGGCCUCUUUUUUUAUUUAGUCCGGAGUCUCAUCCCGACUUGUGGGGGAAUCAUAGUCUUCAUCAUCCUUUCCUCACAUGGGACAAUGCUCUAAUAAUGAUGAUCAUCACACCUUUAUUUACUUACAACUCAAGAAUUACAACUCAAAACUUAGAACAUAAUAUGACUCUAUGUGAAUGCCUCCGGCGGUGUACCAGGAUGCAGUGAAUCAAGAGUGACAUGUAUGAAAAUAAUGAACGGUGGCUUUGCCACAAAUACGAUGUCAACUACAUGAUCACGCAAAGCAAUAUGACAAUGAUGAAGCGUGUCAUAGUAAACGAAACGGUGGUAAGUUGCAUGGCAAUAUAUCUCGGAAUGGCUAUGGAAAUGCCAUGAUAGGUAGGUAUGGUGGCUGUUUUGAGGAAGGUAUAUGGUGGGUGUAUGAUACCGGCGAAAAGUUCGCGGUAUUAGAGAGGCUAGCAAUGGUGGAAGGAUGAGAGUGCGUAUAAUCCAUGGACUCAACAUUAGUCAUGAAGAACUCAUAUACUUGUUGCAAAAAUCUACAAGUUACCAAAGCAAAGUAUUACGCGCAUGCUCCUAGGGGGAUAGAUUGGUAGGAAAAGACCAUCGCUCGUCCUCGACCGCCACUCAUAAGGAAGACAAUCAAUAAAUAAAUCAUGCUCCGACUUCAUCACAUAACGGUUCACCAUACGUGCAUGCUACGGGAAUCACAAACUUUAACACAAGUAUUUCUCAAAUUCAUAGCCACUCAACUAGCAUGACUCUAAUAUCAUCAUCUUCAUAUCUCAAAACAAUUAUCAAGCAUCAAACUUCUCAUAGUAUUCAACACACUUAUAAGAUUUUUUUUACUAAUCUUGGAUGCCUAUCAUAUUAGGACUAAUUUUAUGAUUAAAGCAAAUUACCAUGCUGUUUUGUAGGAAUCUCAAAAUAAUAUAAGUGAAUCAGGAGAGAACAAUAGUUUCUAUAAAACAAAACCACCGCCGUGCUCUAAAAGAUAUAAGUGAAGCACUAGAGCAAAAACUAUAUAGCUCAAAAGAUAUAAGUGAAGCACAUAGAGUAUUCUAAUAAAUUCUGAAUCAUGUGGGUCUCUCUCAAAAGGUGUGUAAACCAAGGAUGAUUGUGGUAAACUAAAAAGUAAAGACUCAAAUCAUACAAGACACUCCAAGCAAAACACAUAUCAUGUGGUGAAUAAAAAUAUAGCUCCAAAUAAAGUUACCGACGAAGACGAAAGAGGGGAUGCCUUCCGGGGCAUCCCCAAGCUUUGGCUUUUUGGUGUCCUUAGAUUACCUUGGGGUGCCAUGGGCAUCCCCAAGCUUAGGCUCUUGCCACUCCUUGUUUCAUAAUCCAUCAAAUCUUUACCCAAAACUUGAAAACUUCACAACACAAAACUCAACAGAAAAUCUCGUGAGCUCCGUUAGCGAAAGAAAACAAAACACCACUUCAAGGUACUGUAUUGAACUCAUUCUUUAUUUAUAUUGGUGUUAAACUUACUGUAUGCCAACUUUUCUAUGGUUUAUAAACUAUUUUACUAGCCGUAGAUUCAUCAAAAUAAGCAAACCACACACGAAAAACAGAAUCUGUCAAAAACAGAACAGUCUGUAGUAAUCUGUAACUAACGCAAACUUCUGGAGCUCAGAAAAAUCUACCAAAAUAGGAAUUCCUAAAUAAUUUGUUUAUUGAUCUACUGCAAUUGGAAUCAGUAUUUUAUCACGUUCUGCUGAUUUUAAACAAUUGUUUUCGUGAACAGAAAGUUUCUGGAAUUUUCAGCAAGAUCAAAUAACUAUCAUCCAAGAAGGUCCUAUAGGUUUAACUUGGCACAAACACUAAUUAAAACAUAAAAACAAAUUUAACCAGAGGAUAGAUCAAAUAUUUAUUACUAAACAGAAGCAAAAAGCAAAAAACUAAAAUAAAAUUGGGUUACCUCCCAACAAGCGCUAUCGUUUAACGCCCCUAGCUAGGCAUAAAAGCAAGGAUAGAUCUAGGUAUUGCCAUCUUUGGUGAGCAAUUCUUCAAUAAGACACCUAUAACCCUUAGGAGUUUCUUUCUUUUUAUUAAUUAUCAAACUCCUAGGCACAAAAUCAAGAAAAUCAUUUGUAGCAAACGGUUCCUUAAUGAUAGCAAAAAGAUUGGGAUGAACACUUAUUGAUUUUAAAUCCGCAGUUUCCUUACUAGAGGAUUCACCCUUAUUUUUAGGAACAUAAACAAGGUUGGAAAUUUUGGUAGGAGGAUUUGGAGUAUUUUUAACAGAAGAAAAAGCGGACCCCAAGUUGGUGAUAAUUCCCUCAAGUUUAUCGAGUCUAGUAGAAUCUUGAUCUAUUCUUUCAUUAACUAUGGGUUCUUUUUCCUUAAAACUUUUCAGAGCAACUCCCACCUUAGAUCCAUAUUGGGUAAUUUGGUUGUGGAUCUUUUUAUCUCAAUCAACUCUACAGUAGCAACUUUAUUUUCAAUAAUUUCAAGCCUUUGCAUCACAUGUUCCAAAGUUAACAUAGUUCCAUUAACCAAAAGAGAUGGUGAGCCAAACAAAUCUAUCAUAGCAUUAUAAGAAUCAAAAGUAUGGCUACCCAAGAAAUUCCCUCCGGUAAUGGUAUCCAGAAUAUAUCUGUACCAAGGAGUAGCGCCUACAUAAAAAUUGCGGAGAAGAACGGAAGUAGAUUGCUUCCCGGUAGAUCUAUUUUGAGCAUUGCAAAUUCUAUACCAAGCGUCUUUUAGAUUUUCUCCCUCCCUUUGCUUAAAAUUAAGAACUUCAUUCUCAGGAGACAACGGAGAAGAUAAGGGACUAGCCAUAAUGACAAGGCAAGCAAGAAAGCGAUGAACGGAAAAGAGAGGGCAAAUAAAACGGCAAGGGUGAAGUGGGGGAGAAGAAAACGAGAGGCAAAUGGCAAAUAAUGUAAUGCGAGGGAUAAGAGUUUGUGAUGGGUACUUGGUAUGUCUUGACUUGUGCGUAGACUCCCCAGCAACGGCGCCAGAAAUGGCUCGUUGUCGGGCAAUCAAAUCUUGACUUGACUUCGGGUAAGCCUCCCCGGCAACGGUGCCAGAAAUCCUUCUUGCUACCUCUUGAGCACUGCGUUGGUUUUCCCUUGAAGAGGAAACGGUGAUGCAGUAAAGUAGCGUAAGUAUUUCCCUCAGUUUUUGAGAAUGAGGGUAUCAAUCCAGUAGGAGACCACGCUCGAGUCCCACGCACCUACACAAACAAAUAAGAACCUCACAACCAACGCGAUAAAGGGGUUGUCAAUCCCUUCACGGUCACUUACGAGAGUGAGAUCUGAUAGAUAUGAUAAGAUAAUAUUUUUGGUAAUUUUAUGAUAAAGAGAAAUAAAGAUGCAAAGUAAAAUAAACGGCGCCAAAAAUACCUUGUUGACGGGAGAUUAAUAUGAUGGAAAAUAGACCCGGGGGCCAUAGGUUUCACUAGUGGCUUCUCUCAAGAGCAUAAGUAUUACGGUGAGUAAACGAAUUACUGUUGAGCAAUUGAUAGAAUUGAGCAUAGUUAUGAGAAUAUCUAGGUAUGAUCAUGUAUAUAGGCAUCACGUCCGCGACAAGUAGGCUGAAACGAUUCUGCAUCUACUACUAUUACUCCACACAUCGACCGCUAUCCAGCAUGCAUCUAGAGUAUUAAGUUCAAAAGAACAUAGUAAUGCUUUAAGUAAGAUGACAUGAUGUAGAGGGAUAAACUCAUGCAAUAUGAUAUAAACCCCAUCUUUUUUAUCCUCGAUGGCAACAAUACAAUACGUGUCGUUUCCCUUUCUGUCACUGGGAUCGAGCACCGCAAUAUUGAACCCAAAGCUAAGCACUUCUCCCAUUGCAAGAAAGAUCAAUCUAGUAGGCCAAACCAAACUGAUAAUUCGAAGAGACUUGCAAAGAUAACCAAUCAUACAUAAAAGAAUCCAGAGGAGAUUCAAAUAUUGUUCAUAGAUAAACUUGAUCAUAAACCCACAAUUCAUCGGAUCUCGACAAACACACCACAAAAGAACAUUACAUCGAAUAGAUCUCCAAGAAGAUCGAGGAGAACUUUGUAUUGAGAUCCAAAGAGAGAGAAGAAGCCAUCUAGCUAAUAACUAUGGACCCGAAGGUCUGAGGUAAACUACUCACACAUCAUCGGAGAGGCUAUGGUGUUGAUGUAGAAGCCCUCCGUGAUCGAUGCCCCCUCCAGCGGAGCGCCGGAAAAGGCCCCAAGAUGGGAUCUCACAGGUACAGAAGGUUGCGGCGGUGGAAAUAGGGUUUUGGCUCCGUAUAUGGUGUUUCCAGGGUACAUGGGUAUAUAUAGGAGGAAGAAGUACGUCGGUGGAGCAACGAGGGGCCCACGAGGGUGGAGGGCGCGCCCAGGGGUAGGCGCGCGCCCCUGCCUCGUGCCUUCCUCGUUGAUUACUUUACGUAGACUCCAAGUCCUCUAGAUCAUGUUUGUUCCGAAAAUCACAUUCCCGAAGGUUUCAUUCCGUUUGGACUCCGUUUGAUAUCCUUUUUCUUCGAAACACUGAAAUAGGCAAAAAAACAGCAAUCUGGGCUGGGCCUCCGGUUAAUAGGUUAGUCCCAAAAAUAAUAAAAAGUGUAUAAUAAAGCCCAUUAAACAUCCAAAACAGAAUAUAAUAUAGCAUGGAACAAUAAAAAAUUAUAGAUACGUUGGAGGCGUAUCAAAAGAUAUAUUUGAUAUACAUGUUAUUGAUGUGUACCUUACUAAUGCUUGUAGUAGCGCCUGGGUAUUUGAUACUGGUUCUGUUGCUCAUAUUUGCAACUCAAAACAAGGGCUACAGAUUAAACAAAGAUUGGCUAAGGACGAGGUGACGAUGCGCGUCGAAAAUGGUUCCAAGGUGGAUGUGAUCACCGCCGGCACGCUACCUCUACAUCUACCUUCGGGAUUAGUUUUAGACCUGAAUAAUUGUUAUUUGGUGCCAGCGUUGAGCAUGAACAUUAUAUCUGGAUCUUGUUUGAUGCGAGAUGGUUAUUCAUUUAAAUCGGAGAAUAAUGGUUGUUCUAUUUAUAUGAGUAAUGUCUUUUAUGGUCAUGCACCCUUGAUGAGUGGUCUAUUUUUAUUGAAUCUCGAUCGUAGUGAUACACAUAUUCAUAAUAUUGAAGCCAAAAGAUGCAAAGUUAGUAAUGAUAGUGCAAAUUAUUUGUGGCACUGCCAUUUAGGUCAUAUUGGUGUAAAGCGCAUGAAGAAACUCCAUGCUGAUGGGCUUUUGGAAUCACUUGAUUAUGAAUCACUUGAUGCUUGCGAACCAUGCCUCAUGGGCAAGAUGACUAAGACUCCGUUCUCCGGAACAAUGGAGUGAGCCACUGACUUAUUGGAAAUAGUACAUACCAAUGUAUGCGGUUCAAUGAGUGUUGAGGCUCGCGGCGGGUAUCGUUAUUUUCUGACCUUCACAGAGGAUUUGAGCAGAUAUGGGUAUAUCUAGUUAAUGAAACAUAAGUCUGAAAUAUUUGAAAAGUUCAAAGAAUUUCAGAGUGAAGUAGAAAAUCAUCGUAACAAGAAAAUAAAGUUUCUACGAUCUGAUCGUGGAGGUGAAUAUUUGAGUUAUGAGUUUGGUCUUCAUUUGAAACAAUGUGGAAUAGUUUCGCAACUCACGCCACCUGGAACACCACAGCGUAAUGGUGUGUCCGAACAUCGUAACCGUACUUUAUUAGAUAUGGUGCGAUAUAUGAUGUCUCUUACCGAUUUAUCACUAUCGUUUUGGGGUUAUGCUUUAGAGACGGCUGCAUUCACUUUAAAUAGGGCACCAUCUAAAUCUGUUGAGACGACACCGUAUGAACUGUGGUUUGGCAAGAAACCUAAGCUGUCGUUUCUUAAAGUUUGGGGCUGCGAUGCUUAUGUGAAAAAGCUUCAACCUGAUAAACUCGAACCCAAAUUGGAGAAAUGUGUCUUCAUACGAUACCCAAAGGAAACUGUUGGGUACACCUUCUAUCACAGAUCCGAAGGCAAAAUAUUCGUUGCUAAGAAUGGAUCCUUUCUAGAGAAGGAGUUUCUCUCGAAAGAAGUGAGUGGGAGGAAAGUAGAACUUGAUGAGGUAAUUGUACCUUCUCCCGAAUUGGAAAGUAGUUCAUCACAGAAAUCAGUUCCAGUGAUUCCUACACUAAUUAGUGAGGAAGCUAAUGAUGAUGAUCAUGAAACUUCAGAUCAAGUUACUAUCGAACCUCAUAGGUCAACCAGAGUACGGUUCGCACCAGAGUGGUACGGUAAUCCUGUUCUGGAAGUCAUGUUGCUAGACCAUGAUGAGCCUACGAACUAUGAGGAAGCGAUGAUGAGCCCAGAUUCCGCGAAAUGGCUUGAGGCCAUGAAAUCUGAGAUGGGAUCCAUGUAUGAGAACAAAGUGUGGACUUUGGUUGACUUGCCCAAUGAUCGGCAAGCCAUAGAGAAUAAAUGGACCUUCAAGAAGAAGACUGACGCUAACGGUAAUGUUACUGUCUACAAAGCUCGACUUGUUGCGAAAGGUUUUUGACAAGUUCAAGGAGUUGACUACGAUGAGACCUUCUCACCCGUAGCGAUACUUAAGUCUGCACGAAUCAUGUUAGCAAUUGCCGCAUUUUAUGAUUAUGAAAUUUGGCAAAUGGAUGUCAAAACUGCAUUCCUUAAUGGAUUUCUUAAAGAAGAGUUGUAUAUGAUGCAACCAGAAGGUUUUGUCGAUCCAAAAGGUGCUAACAAAGUGUGCAAGCUCCAGCGUUCCAUUUAUGGACUGGUGCAAGCCUCUCGGAGUUGGAAUAUACGCUUUGAUAAUGUGAUCAAAGCAUAUGGUUUUAUAUAGACUUUUGGAGAAGCCUGUAUUUACAAGAAAGUGAGUGGGAGCUCUGUAGCAUUUCUAAUAUGAUAUGUGGAUGACAUAUUGUUGAUUGGAAAUAAUACAUGAUUUCUGGAUAGCAUAAAAGGAUACUUGAAUAAGAAUUUUUCAAUGAAAGACCUCGGUGAAGCUGCUUAUAUAUUGGGCAUCAAGAUCUAUAGUGAUAGAUCAAGACGCUUAAUUGGACUUUCACAAAGCACAUACAUUGAUAAAGUUUUGAAGAAGUUCAAAAUGGACCAGUCCAAGGAAGGGUUCUUGCCUGUGUUACAAGGUGUGAAGUUGAGUCAGACUCAAUGCCCGACCACCGCAGAAGAUAGAGAGAAAAUGAAAGUCAUUCCCUAUGCCUCAACCAUAGGUUCUAUCAUGUAUGCAAUGCUGUGUACCAAACCUGAUGUGUGCCUUGCUAUAAGUCUAGCAGGGAGGUACCAAAGUAAUCCAGGAGUGGAUCACUGGACAACGGUCAAGAACAUCCUGAAAUACCUGAAAAGGACUAAGGAUAUGUUUCUCAUUUAUGGAGGUGACAAAGAGCUUGUCGUAAAUGGUUACGUUGAUGCAAGCUUUGACACUGAUGCGGAUGACUCUAAGUCACAAACCGGAUACGUAUUUAUAUUGAAUGGUGGAGCUGUGAGUUGGUGCAGUUCCAAGCAGAGCGUCGUGGUGGGAUCUACAUGUGAAGCGGAGUACAUAGCUGGUUCGGAAGCAACAAAUGAAGGAGUCUGGAUGAAGGAGUUCAUAUCCGAUCUAGGUGUAAUACCUAGUGCAUCGGGUCCAAUGAAAAUCUUUUGUGACAAUACUGGAGCAAUAGCCUUGGCGAAGGAAUCCAGAUUUCACAAGAGAACCAAACACAUCAAGAGAAGCUUCAAUUCCAUCCACGAUCAAGUCAAUAAGGGAGACACACAGAUUUGAAAAAUACAUACAGAUCUGAAUGUUGCAGACCCAUUGACUAAGCCUCUUCCACGAGCAAAACAUGAUAAGCACCAAGACUCCAUGGGUGUUAGAAUCAUUACUAUGUAAUCUAGAUUAUUGACUCUAGUGCAAGUGGGAGAUUGAAGGAAAUAUGCCCUAGAGGCAACAAUAAAGUUGUUAUUUAUAUUUCCUUAUAUCAUGAUAAAUGUUUAUUAUUCAUGCUAGAAUUUUAUUAACCGGAAACAUAGUACAUGUGUGAAUACAUAGACAAAACAGAGUGUCCCAAGUAUGCCUCUAGUUGACUAGCUCAUUGAUAAAAUAUGGUUAUGUUUCCUGACCAUAGACAUGUGUUGUCAUUUGAUGAACGGGAUCACAUCAUUAGAGAAUGAUGUGAUGGACAAGACCCAUCCGUUAGCUUAGCAUUAUGAUCAUUUAGUUUUAUUGCUAUUGCUUUCUUUAUGACUUAUACAUAUUCCUCUAACUAUGAGAUUAUGCAACCCCCGAAUACCGGAGGAAUACCUUGUGUGCUAUCAAACGUCACAACGUAACUGGGUGAUUAUAAAGAUGCUCUACAGAUGUCUCCGAAGGUGUUUGUUGGCUUGGCAUAGAUCAAGAUUAGGAUUUGUCACUCCGUGUAUCGGAGAGGUAUCUCUGGGCCCUCUCGGUAAUGCACAUCACUAUAAGCCUUGCAAGCCAUGUGACUAAUGAGUUAGUUGCGGGAUGAUGCAUUACGGAACGAGUAAAGAGACUUGCCGGUUACGAUAUUGAACUAGGUAUGAUGAUACCGACGAUCGGAUCUCGGGCAAGUAACAUACCGAUGACAAAGGGAAUGAUGUAUGCUGUUAUGCGGUUUGACCGAUAAAGAUCUUCGUAGAAUAUGUAGGAGCCAAUAUGAGCAUCUAGGUUCUGCUAUUGGUUAUUGACCGGAGAUGUGUCUCAGUCAUGUCUAGAUAGUUCUUGAACCCGUAUAGGGUCCGCACGCUUAACGUUCAAUGACGAUUUGUAUUAUGAGUUAUGUGUUUUGGUGACCGAAGUUUGUUCGGAGUCCCGGAUGAGAUGACGGACAGGACGAGGAGUCUCGAAAUGGUCCAGAGGUAAAUAUUCAUAUAUUGGAAGGUUAUAUUCGAACAUCGGAAUGGUUCCGAGUGAUUCGGGUAUUUUACCGGAGUACCGAGGGGUGACCGGCACCCCCCGGGGGAAAUAUGGGCCUUAGUGGAGAGAGAGGAGGGCCGCAAGGGGUGGUCGCGCGCCCCCCAUGUCUGUCCGAAUUGGACUAGGGGAGGGGGCGGCGCCCCCCUUUCCCUUUCCCUUUCGCUCUCCCUCUCCUUCCUUUUCCCUCCGGUGGAGAAAGGAAGGGGGGGGGGGCGAAUCCUACUUGGACUAGGAGUCCAAGUAGGACUCCCCCCAUGGCGCGCCCCUCCUGGCCGCCGGCCUCCUCCCCCCUCCUUUAUAUAUGGGGGCGGGGGCACCCCAAAGGCACAUCAGUUAUUCUCAUAGCCGUGUGCGGUGCCCCCCUCCACAGUUUACUCCUCCGGUCGUAGCGUCGUAGUGCUUAGGCGAAGCCCUGCGCGGAUCACAUCAUCAAUACCCUCACCACGCCGUCAUGCUGACGGAACUCUCCCUCGACCCUCUACUGGAUCAAGAGUUCGAGGGACGUCAUCGAGCUAAACAUGUGCUGAACAUGGAGGUGCCGUACGUUCGGUACUUGGAUCGGUUGGAUCAUGAAGACGUUCAACUACAUAAACCGCGUUAACCUAACGCUUCCGCUUUCGUUCUACGAGGCUACGUGGACACACUCUCCCCCUCUCAUUGCUAUGCAUCUCCUAGAUAGAUCUUGAGUGGGCGUAGGAUUUUUUUUUGAAAUUGCAUUCUACGUUCCCAACACUAACACGGACAACACGCACAAUCAUUGCCGCAUCAGGAUCCUACUGGUCCACCCUUAUGGUCAAUAGCUUGGUAUCCUCCUAAGAGGCCGCGAGCUCACCUUCUUCUCUUCGAGGUUGGUCUUCUUCUCUUCGAGCUUGAUAUUCUUCUCGGUCGCCGCCAUCAAGAUGUUAAACCUCCCCGCCUUCUUUUCCCCCUUCACGUCAUAGUGCUUGACACAUGCCUCCUCCUUCUUUGCCCGAAAGUCCUCGAAUCCCUCCGCCAUCUUGGCCGCUACACCUUCUCGCUUAAACUUUUUAUCCUCCCACUUGUUUCUCCAGAUCCCUCUUCUAGACUUCUUGCACAACUGUUUUGUUGGGUUAGUUGGAUCACUCACUUCUUCCUCAUUGCCAAUGUCAACAGUAUUGAUAGAAUUGGCAAUGCAAUUUUGCCACCUAGGUUGCAUAUUCAACUUCAACAAGUAAUGUAUGAGGACGAAAAUCUUCUUUUUCACUUUCAAAGACAAGUUGCAUGCAUGGGAGGGCAUUAAAAAAGACAUUGUCACGAAGGUGCAUAUGGACAAUGAGCAACACAUAGAGCAUAUCCGACCAACAAGUUGCAUAUCUGGUCAAAUGACAUAGAGCAUAUCCUGCCCCUCAUUGACCUAUAUAGGGGGAGGUAGGGGCCUCCCAAGUCGGUUUAUGUCAAGAUCUCUCAUACAAAAUAUCAAUCAAUAUAAUUUGACAUGCAUGACGUAGGGUAUUACCUCCACCAUGAGGUCCUGAACCUGGGUAAACCAUUCAUCCUGUGUGCUCCCAAUAUGAUAUUCAUGUGUAUUGUGCCCCACGAGAAAUCCUAUAAAGGGAUAUGCCAGUAUUAUGAACCAUCAAUUUCUUUGCACCCAACGAGUAUACCCCCUUCACUAUUUUUGGCGCUAAUUCUGGAUGCAUCAAGAUCUCUUCAACACUAUCGCAAGAGUUGUGGUGAAACAUGAUCAUUGGUUUCAAUUGAGAAGGAAACGUUAAAUUUGAUAUGUAUCUAAACUGUGUAUACUUGAAUUUUUAAGUUUUGAAUUAAUAUGUUGCAAACAUAUAUCUUCAAAUGAAGUUUGUAUGCAAACGUUUGGAUGAAUGGGAAAAACAAAAAAAUGUCGAUUAAAUUUUAGGCGUUGGGCUAUAUGAACGAAAGUUUAAUUCCUACAAAAUGAGCAAUUCUAGCAUGGGGAAUAGAGCGGUAAAUUAUGUUACUGUGGAUGGGCUAGAGAUGCUCUAAGCCUCACAUGCUUAUAUAACAGAUGCAAACCGCUUCCCAUCAGGUGAGACACAAUACUUGUUCAGGGCUAAGUGGGUCAUGCUAGGCUCGAUGUUCUUAUUUUGAAAAGCUGAUUUUGACGUUUCUGCUAUCUGCAAGUCUACUAUUUGAUUUCCAUCUUGGGGAGGUAUGUCACACUAUAUACCAUAAUUCAGAAAUCAGGCUUGCAAGUGAUCUCUCCCCCCAAAAAAAUUGUUCCACAUAUUAACUUCUAUCAUCAAGGAGGAUUUGAUCUCAAAGUCAUACUAUUUCUUCCUGACUGAUAGAGGUAAACAAUGUUUCUCUUCAUGUGAAGAAAACACCUGGGGAAACAACCAGAUUUCGCGCGGUUUCCAUCUCCCAGUAAUUUCAUCCCAGUCGUGAGUAUGACAUGGUUGCUUGACUGCCAUAAUGCAUUUAUCACCUAUUAGUAAAAAUGUCCUUCCUCUCCAUGGAGCCUUCAGCAUGAUCAUCAAUAUAAUAACACCUUCCCAGUAGAGUCAUUCCUAUAGUGCAUCAACAGAGUCCAUAGCUCGCAUCAGAUAACUGCAUCGGUUGAUGUGGAUGCACCGGUCUUACUUUUCCAGUCGAAAAUACUAAUGAGAACAUCCUGAUGCCAUGAUCCGCAUAGCCCUGGAUGCAAACUAAAGACCUCGACUUGAUCGAGGGGAAGAAGCUUCCUAUCCCCUACCGUGGCGAUAGGGAUGUCUCAUGCCUCCACAUCGCGGCCUCGCAUUACAUUGCACGCGACGUGAACAACAAAGGAUAACCUAGGAUUCAAGAGCUAGAUAGCGGCGACAUUGGAUUUGGUGCUUGGGAGGGCAGAGGUAGCGGAUGCGGAAUUGAGGAAGGUGGAGGCCGAUACCUAUUUGUUUGGUUUACUCAAAUAUCUCAUCAAAUGUCAUAGAGACAAAAAAAAAUUUUCAUUCAUCCUAAGCUAUCUUUUGAUAAGGAGAAACAUGCUAUCACAGCUCCUAGCCACACACUAUUUAUAGACAUAUACAAGUGAUCAGGUGCAUCCCAACACAAAAUCGUCUCAUGCACUUCCUGCCCAGUUCUCAUGCGUAUAUUGCCGUUCUAGAGAAGGAAUGUAAUCUUCACAAGCAAGAAGAACAAUUUGUUUGUGCUUGUGGUCUAUUUCAUCCAAUUCUUGUGGGUCUCCCUAAGCUAUGGGAACACCAGUUUCAAGUGGAUUUCUCAAGUGAGAUCAGCAGACCAUGGACAACCCGUGAGGAAUGGUCACAAAAGCCAGUGUGGCAUAGUGACUAAAAACUCGAAAGAUCAGCACACUUGUAGUUAGAGAUUCUCAAGAUUCAAUUUAUUUCUCGCAAAGAAGUAUUUAAUUUUGUAAUGGUAUCCCGGGCAAGAAACCUCAGUAUUUCUUAAACCUGUUCGCUUCAAAUUGUAUACUGAGUUUAGUGCUAGCCUCGACCCUCAGUGCUGCCUUCUCUAUAUAUCAGUGGAAUAAACCAGGAACUAGUGUCAGCAAAAAGGUUCCUGAGCUAGAGUUUGCACAUACCAGCCAUGGACAAUAGAGGUCUACGUUGGAACAACUUAUCUACAGGAUUAUUAUUUUUCUGCAUAGAGUUGCAUAUUUGUACUCUUACUAUAUGCAGGUGCAUUAUUUAGGAGGGAUGAAAUGUAUAAAGAGUACAUGAAGCACAUCCCAAUUCCUGAUCACUACGGUUCCCUGAUCCCAUCCACAUCAGGGUCAAUAGCUCCUGUGCGACACAUUUCAUGUGAAUUGGAAGGGGUGCAACGUUGUUCGAGCGAAUGGCUCUGGUGCGACACAUUUGAGCCCGUAAAUAGCCAAGGCACAACAUGGCCCUUAGACUCAAUUGAUGCCCUCGUUAGGUGUUAUGGGUUGGACCCACCACUUAUCCAUGUAUGCGCUAGACCCACCACUUGUCCACGUAAGAGCGGGACCCACCUCUCCGCAGCUAGAAGAGACGAGCACCCGUGCCCGUCCGCCCGCCGCCGCCCAUUGCUUCCCCUUUCCCCAAUCUUUCUCUUCUCCGGCGACCUAGCGCAGAUGUCUAGCUCCUCUGACACGCACUCAAAAUGGCAACAACAUGGUCCAGUGCCGCUCACAAGGUGCCCUGAGUGCCCACGCCUUGUGAAAUGCUUGAGCAAAACAAUGGCAGGAAGGGAUGGCAAGGUUAGAUCUCAGUUCUUAGCCCGUUCUUUCGCUGUCGUUUUCUCUCAUUUCUCCAGAUUUACUUUUUUCUCGUCGAAUUUGGGAUUUAGGGUUCAUGUUGUUGUUUUCAGAUCCUGAAGAAAUGUACACAUUACGAGUGGAUGGAUGAUUAUAUUGAGAGGAUUCAGUUUGAGGGCUACAAUGAUUCGAGCGGGGCCGCAAUCUGUGAGCUCAAUUUGAGCGGGGUGCCACCGAUUGCUGUGGAGAAUUUGAGGAGCUCGGACGGGCGAGGGGCGGGCAGAGUCCUGUCGAUGCUGAGGUAUGCGCACGAUGCUGAACUACAUGCGCAGUCCGAACUGAAUGAGGAACUGAAGAAGAUCAACAAACAUCUAAUGCAGAUGAUCGAUUUGUAGAAGCAAGAAAAUAUCAGGGCAGGGGGGUUCUAUUGUUGUAUCAUUGCUAUGUUCUUCUUGUACUUGUUGUUCAUCCGUCAUUAGAAUGGGCAUUUAGGCCUAUCAAGGCAGAGGACGCGAUCUGUGCGCCAUGCUAAGUUGAUGCAACUGAGUCGAAGCAGCAAUUUGGAAAAUUAUUCAAUGUUCAUGCCCCUAUUUUUGUUCUUCAGUUAACAGAGUGCACACCCAAAUUCAGUUUCUAGUAAAAAAAACCUGGGCUGCCAAAUAGAUGUUGGGCCGUGAGGAAAUAACCAGGCCCAAAGAGAAACCAGCCCACCCGCAUAGGGGCACCAGCCCUUUUUUUUAGCAUAGAGGCACCCAUGUUUAACGAAAAAUGGUUCGACUAAAUAAAAUGUUGCUUGGGCAAAUAAACCUCUAACGAACAUAUACUUCUCGACUUGUUUUUACUUUGGCCAAUUUUUUUCGUGGAACAAUGUAAAUAAAAAUGCGGCAAAAUGCAAAGAGGUAGCACAUGGCACAUGUUUUACUUGGGCUCGUUUUACUUGUGUUAGCUCAAGAAAAUUUACUUCUUUUAACGUUUCAAAAAUUCUCUUACUUGUUUUUGUUCAUGGAAUAAUGUAAAUCAAAAAUCCACUAAAAAUAAAUUAUUUGUGGCUUGUGUAAAAAAGAGGAAUAUCAUUUUUUCACGGGUCAUUUUUUGUCCUUUUACAGUCCAAAAAAUGUCUUUUUUUCACGUUUUGAAAUGCAUUUUUUAAUGGGUGUAUCUAGACCUACAAGCCAAAACACCAUGCAACUUAAAUAAGUAGCAGGAACAUAAUAUAUAAUAGAAAGACACAUAAUAUAGAUAGUUUGAUCGGGCCAACCAAGCCCACAGCGGGCACCCAUAGUACGCUUACAACUUAAAUAACAUAACACAAAUAAAGAUAGAUUUAGCUAAAAAAAUAUAUAGAUGGGUAGAUCGUCUAAACCCUGGCCGCUGCCUUACUUGCUCUCCUUGCUCCUCGCUCCUCCUCCCUCCGGGCACCCUUCACUGCUCCUCCAGGGCGAUGUCGAUGGGGUACGACAGAGUGUGCAUGCGCCCCGCGGUGGGGAAGAUGUUGGUGUAGUCCGUGAAGAUGUUGUGGGUGGUGAAAGCGAUGAACUCGUAGCCACACCAAAACACGCGGCCGAGGAGGUAGAACGCGUUGAAGGGGUUGGUGAAGUGGGCAUGGAUAGCAACCACAACCACGUUGUGGAUGACCUCCUCGACAUGGAACAUCCUUGGAGAUCACCGGGGGAGGUGGCAGUAGCCGGCCCCAAGGAAGAAGUUGGUGAACUCCCUUGCGCCCCUCCAUCUUGACAUCGCCCACACACAGAGUGUGUUCUCGACGUACACCCCGACGGGGUAGAGCCUCUCCGACACGGUGGGAGGAAAGCGGUAGGAUGGCACGGUGUACUGCAUGGCUGCGGUGGCCUGGUUUUGGGGUUGUUGGUGAUGUGAAGAAGAAGGACAGAUGCAGAUGGGAGAGGAUGGGAGAUGGAUGAGGGGUGUGAGAGGAGGAGGAAGAUGAUAGGUGGCUUAAGUAGCCCUAGUGCGACGUGUUUUUUGACUGGUUUCACACCGGGUGGAAGUAAUGAGCAGGCGGCAUUGGGUGGCAUCGGGAGUGUGUACACGCGUGGGAAACCCAAGGCUGCAUCAAUAGCCAGGCUGUGACGUUUCAGCACACGCGGCUGUGCCGUCGGUCGGGGGGUCACGCCUGCUCGGUCUUCUUUGCGUGUGCCACCCGUGCAUGCAUGCAUUGUAGGCUGCUCACCCGCAUGCAUGGCAAUGUAGCCUGCGAGCUAGGGCAGCUAGAGGGAGGCGUGACAAUGUUCGGUCCCAAGGUCCAACGGGUGGGCUUCUGUACCGCAACCCAAUAGCGCGCAUGCAUGGCAGCAGCUCACCCUCGAGUGUAGAACAAACAAAGGGCAAAAAUUAAGCGUUUUCAAAUCCAGCCAAUCACAGCACCGAACUAGUUUCAUGCGGAUCGCUGACGUGGCACUGCAUGCUGAUCCACACUGUUCGACGCGCAGCGAUCCAACGGUCAGAAAUGGUUGGGGGAGUGAUCCAGCGUUCUCGAAUAUGGCCAAUCAGAGCGCUUCACUCGGAUCGUUGACGUUGCCCUAGCGCCUGAUCCACACUGUCCAUUCGCAGAUAUCCAAUGGGCCAGAAGGAUGCGGUGUUUUGGCUAGGGUUUGAGGGGUUUUGAGGGCUAGGGUUGACCAUAACUAAUUUAAAAAAUCAGAAAAAUAUGAAACUUGCACCAUCAUCGUUUUAUGUUACUAGGUUGCUGGAAAAAAAAUAAGAAACCUGGUCUACGGGUAUAUUCAUGAAAAACCCUUCACAAAACCUAGCUAUCACGAACAAGGUUGUGUGGUAUUCAGGUUAGGGUUUAGGGUUAAGCAUGUCAUAGUUUAUCCAAACGAUCCAAUAUUGGGCAUGGACCCUAUAUUUGCACACUGGAAUUCAAGUUUUGAUUUUUGGCUCAUUUAGAGAAGGUCGGAAAAAACUUGCUUGCAAAUGGGAUGUUUAUCCUAGCUUUGGAGCUCAUUUUUCAUGACUAGUGUUUCACUCAAAAAAAAGUCAUCAGAUUGAUCACCUAACAUGCAUAAUAUUUGAGAAAUCAUUGUAACAUCAAUACCCAAACUAAACAACUUCAAAUUUGAAUUUUGGCUCAAAUUUGAAAUUCGGCCAGAAUUUGAAUAGAGUUACACAAAUACCCAUCAAAGUAAAAAUAACAUUACACAAAUUCAAGAAAGUUCUUUACACAAAUGCAGGCAAGUUUUUUAUUCAGACAAGAACAAUAUUUCACCUCUACUUAUUCUUACCACUCGAUUUCUUUUUCUUUUUCUUGGCACUUGUUGAUCCUGCGACGGGUACAACACCCAGUUCACUCAAGCUCCUGGUUUCCUUCAUUGGACCAUCUAGGAAAGCUUUAGUUGGCAUCACAAAAUCUAAAUGAGGCCUAGUGUGCACAACAUCAACUACAACAGCUUCAAUUUGUAACACAACUUCCAAUAUAGGUUCAGUUUGCACAUCAACCGCAUCAACUUCAGUUCUAGUUUGCACCACAUUUUGCUCAUUUUGCUCAUUUUGCCCCACAUCCAAAUCUUGCUUAUUGUGCACUUCAUCCGAAUGUUGCUCAUUUUGCACCCCAACAUCAUCCAAGUUUGGCUCAUUUUGCACCACAACAUCAUCCAAGUUUUGGCUCAUCAUGCACCACAACAUCAUCCAACUUAGGUUCAUCUUGCACCACAACAUCGAAGUCUGGUUCAGUGUGCACACUUUCACCAAAACUUCUCUUUUUUCUACAGCCAUUGAUUCUUGCCUUUUUGAUUGGCUAGCCAUCUUCAACAACAAGGGGUUAACUUCCACGCUUCCUCCUGGAAAACAAAGCUUGUAAUUUGCCUAGUAACUAAAAACAACAUCCAAAUAAAAAAACACAAACAUAAACAUACUUUGGUCUUUCUAGAGUGUAACGACAUUUUGGAAAUCCUUUUUCGGUGCCCAAGUUCUUGGCACAGCUUGCAUAUAUUUUGUUACCUUUUUGGCUUUGCAUCCUUCUUCCCCUUCCCCCUUUUACUACUCCCACCUUUCUCAAACCAUGCCUUGAAUCUACUCUCUUUAGGCCUGCCAGCCUUUCUUUUUGUUAGGGGAGGACACAUGGAAAAUUCAAUUUCCACUUCAGGCCACUGAGACUGAUCUGUAAGUGCUGGAACUGGAGUUGCAUAUGCAGCCUUGAAUCUUGCCACUGAGUAAUAUUCAUGCAAAUAUGGGUGCAUGUUUAUCUUGGGUUGGGAGGCCAAGAAAAGUAUGACAUGGUCACAUGGUUUUCCGGUGUGUUGCCACUCAAGGCAAAUGCAGUCAUGCAACUCAAUAUUAACAACAUGCCUCCUUCCAGUCUUGGUAUCUCUAACUUCAACACCACAAUGAAGAUUUUUCAACAGACAAAUGUGUAAGAUUUCUGCUUCUGUUCACCACCUGUUGUACCACUGCAUGAAGCUUAUCCCCUUGCAGACAAUCACCAAUCCUUCUUCUCAAUUCCCACAUGUGCAUGAUCAUGAUCCUGAUUUGGUCAACCAUGUCAUGCAUAGGCAAGUUUUUUAACUGCUUUAUCUUGUUAAAAAUUUCUGCCAAGUUAUUGUUGAUAUGAUCACACUUGAUGGCAGUGUUAAAUCCUGACCUGUACCACAACAGAGAAUGAUAGGUGUCCAACCAUGGACCAAACUCACUGCAUGCUGCUUUUAUCUUAUUUUAAGAUGAUAUGAAUGUGUCUGUUUGGUGUAAGAUCUUGCUUCUGGCCACAUUCUCCCAAAUUCUUCUCCUCUGAAUUUUUUGAAAAUUCAUCCACAUAUGGUCGAAGCACUCCCUCUGCUCACAAUGAGGAAAAACAUUAUUCACUGCAUUUUCUAGCCCUUUACAUGCAUUUGUGUGUACUGCCAAAGGUGACACUGGCCCCAUGCAUCUUUUCAACUGCAUCAUGAACCAUGUCCAUGAAACCUCUGUCUCUGACUGAAACAAACCAAUAAAAACAGGGAACAUCCAGUUGUGCCCAUCUAAAGCAUUGCAUGCUGCCAAUUGACCAUUCCAUUUGCCAGUCAAAAAAGAUGAGUCUAUGCUCAAAUAUGGACGGUACCCUGCUUUGAAGCCAUCUAUGCAAGGCUUUAAAGCCAUAAAUAACUUGGAGAAAAGAACUCUACCAGCCUUUGUUACCUCAGUAUCUAUCUCCACAACACUGCCAGGUGACCUCUUCUCCACCUCUGCUUUGAAGUUAUGAAGCAUCCUAAAAGUAUUUGCCCAAUCACCAUAUAAUUAUUUCAUUGCCCUCUGUUUUGCUUUCCACACUAUGGUAUACUUCACCUUAAUGCGGUACUGCUUUUCCAAGUCCACUUUAAGUUUCUUUGAUGUAGUGUUCGGUUUCUUGGCUAAAAUUGGAGUGAUCUUUUCUGCAAUCCAAAGUUGUGAUGUCAUGGUUGAUACUCUCUGUGAACUUGUAAUACAAGUAUGUGGAUUUGAGAUUUGAUUAACCCUGAUGGUACUUCCAUCAGGUUGAAUUCUAGCAGAUAUGUACCACUUGCAAGGCCCAACGCUUCCAUCAAAACCUCUGCACCUUGCAUAAAAUUUCUUUUUAUUAGUCCACAUAGUCUUGGCAUCAAACUCAUGUUUGACUACAUAAGUCUUGAAACACAUCCUGAACUCCUUCAUGCUUGGGAACAAAUUGCCUACUUCAAUAACAGGAUUUUCUUUGUCAUACACUUACAAGCUCAUCAUCAUGUGCAUCAUCUACAUCAUCUGCAGCAGCUUUCAUCAGCUGUCCAUCCGCAUCUUCACAAGCAUCUAUGUUAGAAUCAUUAGGCAAGCUCGAUUCACCCCUCUCUUCCUCAUCUUGAUCAUCUGCUGGAAUGCCAAUUUUUUUGCCAUCUCAGUGUCAGCCAUUGGUGCAAUGACCAAAUCAGUAGUGUCUUCUAAUUGUACUAAAUUCCAAUCAACACAAACAACCCUUGCAGCACCAUCACGACCCUCUUCUGCAUCUUGAUCAGGCCCCUCUAUUACUGUCACUUCACCCGUGCACAUGGGCGUUAUCUGUCUCUGUGAAGCCCGAUCAUCAUCUACCCUCUGCGAAGCCAACUUUGAGGGCACAUAUCCAACCUUAGAAUCUGAUUUCAGAUUAAUGGGCUCUGCAUGAAAGGUAGUCUGUUUGCUUGCCCAGCCGUCUUGCCGAUCGAUUUCAUCAACCAUCUCUUCACCAUUCUGAAUUCUCACAUACUCACCCUUCCAAUUAUCAAACCGUAAAAAUGCUACCUCUUACUCUAGGCCCCAAAAAGUGCUUUCCCCAAUUUUCUCCACAACAUUCCUCACGGCCCUCUCUUCCAUGCUCUCUAUUUCCUGUGGAUCAAUAUCUUCAAAUUCAACCUCCCAUUUCACAAUUGUAUCUCUCUCUCUCUAUGUCUCGCACGCUACCAUCAACUAGCUUUUCUUUAGAUGGUAAGAAUUCAACACUGAAUUCGAAGGUCCGAGCAACAUUGCCCCUGUUUAUCAAUGGCGGACACUGUGAGGCACCGAAAGCAGACAAGGCACACAUCGCAGGGUUGAAGAGGUUGGACAGGGUGAUUACCUGGUCGAUGUUGACUCUCGUGGCUCCAUCUCAUUCAGCCCAACACCACCCCGCCCCCGCUCCCCAGUCCACCCACCUCCACAAUCUGGGUCCCGUAGAAAAACAGGGCAAAUAGAGGCUCACUUGGUCAGAUCUAACUCAAGACGGAGGGGAAUGGUGCCGAAUACACUCACCACAUGCGCAGUCACGGCCGUGGACGAAAGCUCCGCCGCCGCCGCUGACGACGACAAGAACGAAGAAGAGAGCAGCAACCAGAAGCAGGAGAGAAGCACGUGUUCAGUCAGGCGGGGAAUCAAUGCACUGCCAAGUGGGACCCACCACCAGACGCAGUGAUUAGUUUGACCCCCUGUUUUUACCUUAACCGUAGUCCCGUUGACGACCAGACCCGUGUUUUAACCACCUGGUCGUAUUGGGGCUAUUAUUGCCAUGUAAGACGGCACAUAGGAGCUAUUUCUAGCAAUUACGUUGCACUCCUUGCAAUUCACAUGAAAUGUGUCGCAUAGGAGCUAUAAACCCUCCACAUCAUGGCUGGGACUUGGAAGAUCGGUGAAGUAGUUGUAUCAACAACCCUUGCAUUACCUCACCAACAUCCUCUUGGGACAGUGGGAUCAACAGAGGGUCGGGAGGCUCAAGCCCUCAUUUGGGCCACUGAAGAAGUCCAUAGGCUGACCACUUAGGGAGGCUCUGGGCUAGAGACCCCAUUUAUCAUGCUUACAUAGAUCCAGUGUUCCCUUCCCUAAAGUCGCAUUAGCAAACAUUGCAAGUUGGAGCGUCUUGUCCUGUCUGCUCCCUCCGUUCCAAAUUACUUGUUUUAGAUUUGUCUAGAUACAGAUGGAUGUAGACACGUGUUAGUGUUAGAUACAUUCAUAAAUCUAAGACUGGGACAGAGGGAAUAUUUUUCUUUCUGAUUGCUGUAAGCGGGCAUAUUUUGGUUGUUAGCAAAGUAAUAUGGACCAUAUAUCACUGAUGUUAAAAGUAUGAUAUGGCAUGGUUUAACGCUGGUUUUAGCUCUCUAAGCAGUAGCUAUGUUAAAGAAGAAGAAACCUGGUGGUGUGGAUUUCAGUGCGUUGAGUCGGCACGGGUAUCAUGGCAGACUAUCUAUACUGACAGUUGUUCCUCCAAAGGUUGAGCCUAUCCGGACUUGGUCCACCGGGAGUCUUUUGAAGAGCGGGAACACACAACGGCUGUAGUAAGUGAGGGAGAGAACCUUAUACUCCCUCCAUUUCUAAAUAUAAGUGUUUUUAGACAUUUCAAAUGGAUUAUAACAUACAAAUGUAUGUAGACAUAUUUUAGAGUGUAAAUUCACUCAUUUUGCUUCGUAUAUAGUCACUUGGAAUUUCUAGAAAGACUUGUAUUUGGGAAAUGGAGGGAGCAGGUGUGAUGAACCCCCAGCCAAGGCAGACCGAGAAAGAGAAGGAGGUUGCUUCAUUCUCACAGAAGGAGAAACAGAAGAGAGACCGCGGACAUGCCAGCAGGGGUAAGAACUACGUCGAGGAGGAGAAGCGGCUCCUGAGGGGGAGUGGCGUUUACUCUGGCUUUGAUACUUGAAAGUGUCCAGAACAAAUGUUAUCUUGUUGUGUUAGCUUCCAUCGUCACUGUUGGUUCGUCUGCUCCUGUAGUUUUGUCGCGAAGGUGACUGGCGGUCAAUGGGGGCAAUGCUUAUUUAUCUAUUACCUAUCUGGCUUUGCGCUGGUUUAAACUUUUGACAUGCCUGUUAUUUUGCCAGAGCAGUGCUCCCUUUUCCGUG
Molecule: long non-coding RNA, 40365 nt
Filed under: Triticum aestivum (bread wheat)
Lineage: Eukaryota; Viridiplantae; Streptophyta; Magnoliopsida; Poales; Poaceae
Description: long non-coding RNA (TAES_LNC018253)
Source: RNAcentral